UAGGGAAUCUUCGGCAAUGGACGAAAGUCUGACCGAGCAACGCCGCGUGAGUGAAGAAGGUUUUGGAUCGUAAAACUCUGUUGGUAGAGAAGAACGUUGGUGAGAGUGGAAAGCUCAUCAAGUGACGGUAACUACCCAGAAAGGGACGGCUAACUACGUGCCAG
This 164-nucleotide ribosomal RNA is filed under the name uncultured bacterium. Its description in RNAcentral is "partial 16S rRNA". It matches the Rfam family "Bacterial small subunit ribosomal RNA", at positions 355 to 511 of the family's 1533-position model. The record is from RNAcentral.